UACCGAGGUCCCAAGCGUUGUUCGGAUUCACUGGGCGUAAAGGGUGCGUAGGCGGUCGGGUAAGUCUGAUGUGAAAUCUCACAGCUUAACUGUGAAACUGCAUUGGAUACUAUCCGGCUCGAGGAAUGGAGGGGAGACUGGAAUACUUGGUGUAGCAGUGAAAUGCGUAGAUAUCAAGUGGAACACCAGUGGCGAAGGCGAGUCUCUGGACAUUUCCUGACGCUGAGGCACGAAAGCCAGGGGAGCAAACGGG
This 253-nucleotide ribosomal RNA is filed under the name uncultured bacterium. RNAcentral's name for it is "partial 16S ribosomal RNA". It matches the Rfam family "Bacterial small subunit ribosomal RNA", at positions 524 to 776 of the family's 1533-position model. The record is from RNAcentral.